This 370-nucleotide ribosomal RNA is filed under the name uncultured organism. Its description in RNAcentral is "partial 16S ribosomal RNA". It matches the Rfam family "Bacterial small subunit ribosomal RNA", at positions 527 to 896 of the family's 1533-position model. The record is from RNAcentral.
GUAGGUGGCAAGCGUUGUCCGGAAUUAUUGGGCGUAAAGCGCGCGCAGGGCGGUCCUUUAAGUCUGAUGUGAAAGCCCACGGCUCAACCGUGGAGGGUCAUUGGAAACUGGGGGACUUGAGUACAGAAGAGGAAAGCGGAAUUCCAAGUGUAGCGGUGAAAUGCGUAGAGAUUUGGAGGAACACCAGUGGCGAAGGCGGCUUUCUGGUCUGUAACUGACGCUGAGGCGCGAAAGCGUGGAGCAAACAGGAUUAGAUACCCUGGUAGUCCACGCCGUAAACGAUGAGUGCUUAGUGUUAGGGGGUUUCCGCCCCUUAGUGCUGCAGCUAACGCAUUAAGCACUCCGCCUGGGGAGUACGGCCGCAAGGCUG